This 372-nucleotide ribosomal RNA is filed under the name uncultured organism. RNAcentral's name for it is "partial 16S ribosomal RNA". It matches the Rfam family "Bacterial small subunit ribosomal RNA", at positions 527 to 896 of the family's 1533-position model. The record is from RNAcentral.
GUAGGUGGCAAGCGUUGUCCGGAAUUAUUGGGCGUAAAGCGCGCGCAGGCGGUUCUUUAAGUCUGAUGUGAAAGCCCACGGCUCAACCGUGGAGGGUCAUUGGAAACUGGAGAACUUGAGUACAGAAGAGGAAAGCGGAAUUCCACGUGUAGCGGUGAAAUGCGUAGAGAUGUGGAGGAACACCAGUGGCGAAGGCGGCUUUCUGGUCUGUAACUGACGCUGAGGCGCGAAAGCGUGGGGAGCAAACAGGAUUAGAUACCCUGGUAGUCCACGCCGUAAACGAUGAUGCUAAGUGUUAGGGGGGUUUCCGCCCCCCUUAGUGCUGCAGCUAACGCAUUAAGCACUCCGCCUGGGAGUACGGCCGCAAGGCUG